AACUAUAACGGUCCUAAGGUAGCGAAAUUCCUUGUCGGGUAAGUUCCGACCCGCAUGAAAGGCGUAAUGAUUUGGGCACUGUCUCAACGAGGGGCCCGGUGAAAUUGAAAUACCUGUGAAGAUGCAGGUUACCCGCGACUGGACAGAAAGACCCCAUGGAGCUUCACUGCAGCUUGAGAUUGAAUCCCGGUGACAGAUGCACAGGAUAGGUGGGAGGCGUCGAAGCAUUGCCCUAGGGCGGUGCGGAGCCGAUGUUGGGAUACCACCCUUCUGUUGCUGAGAUUCUAACGCGAGGAGUAACGACCCUGCGGACCCUCUCAGGCAGGCGGUUUGACUGGGGCGGUCGCCUCCGAAAGAGUAACGGAGGCGCCCAAAGGUUCCCUCAGGCCGGACAGAAACCGGCCGAAGAGUGCAAAGGCAGAAGGGAGCUUGACUGCGAGACCAACAAGUCGAGCAGAGACGAAAGUCGGGCUUAGUGAUCCGGUGGUACUGAGUGGAAAGGCCAUCGCUCAACGGAUAAAAGCUACCCUGGGGAUAACAGGCUAAUCUCUCCCAAGAGUUCAUAUCGACGGGGAGGUUUGGCACCUCGAUGUCGGCUCAUCACAUCCUGGGGCUGGAGUAGGUCCCAAGGGUUGGGCUGUUCGCCCAUUAAAGUGGUACGCGAGCUGGGUUCAAAACGUCGUGAGACAGUUUGGUUCAUAUCCAUCGCGGGCGCAAGAAGUUUGAGAGGAGCUGCUCCUAGUACGAGAGGACCGGAGUGGACGGAUCAACGGUGUCCCAGUUGUCACGCCAGUGGCACGGCUGGAAAGCCGCAUCCGGGAAGGAUAAACGCUGAAAGCAUCUAAGCGCGAAGCCAACCUCAAGAUGAGACUUCUCAUCAGCAAUGAGUAAGACCCCUUACAGACGAUGAGGUAGAUAGGUUAUGAGUGGAAGAGCCGCAAGGCUUGGAGCGACAUAAAACUAAUAGGUCGAGGUCUUAACUUA
RNAcentral lists this ribosomal RNA (984 nucleotides) under human gut metagenome. Its description in RNAcentral is "bacterial LSU rRNA". It matches the Rfam family "Bacterial large subunit ribosomal RNA", at positions 1938 to 2925 of the family's 2925-position model. The record is from RNAcentral.